AUGGACUUAAUUGCCCCAUUGCAUGUGGGAUCUUAGCUCCCUGACCAGGAAUCAAACUCGCAGCCUCUGCAUUGUAAGGCAAAGUAUUAACCACUGGACCACCAGGGAAG
Molecule: long non-coding RNA, 110 nt
Organism: Aethalodelphis obliquidens (Pacific white-sided dolphin)
Lineage: Eukaryota; Metazoa; Chordata; Mammalia; Artiodactyla; Delphinidae
Exons: 3
Source: RefSeq, a predicted model, not a curated record